AUGAUGGAGAAGAUGAGGAUGGUGCGGGACGCCAGUCACGCUGCCUACGAAGCCAGCUCGGCCCUCCAAAGCAAUGUUCAGAAAUCUUGUGAUCUGGGAGCUCGCUUUGCUGACUUAGAGAAACAGCAGAUCCAACUGAACCUUGACUUGGAGCUGGCCAAGACAGAGCUGCAAAAGGCUAAGGAUGGCGCCAAUGCUCUGGCAAAGAAGGACCAGGAUCUGGCUGCUGCCCGAAAGGAAGCUGAUGACAGAGUCACUCUGGCCGAACAGAAGCUGGCUUCGGUCGGCCAGUUGGAAGAAGAGAAUACCAGGCUGAAGUCUGCUCUGAAUGACGCCAACAGGGAGUGCUCACGCUGGAAGAAGGUGAAUCUCAUCCAGGGCGAGAAAAUGGAAAGCAUUGCUCGUAGGAGGGAUGAUCUGGAGAGUUAUCUGAGAAGUCUUGCCAAGAAGUUGUUCAUCAAGCUUGAAGAGUUUUGCGAGAACUUUGAAGAGGAGACUGGGCGGAUCGAACCAGGUUUGGAUCCAAUCAACUCUCCCAUGAAAGAUGAAACUGCCAUGAAUCUGCUCCGACUGGAAUCUCUCAUCGACGAUGCCGUGGACUACUUGGCUCGACUGAAGGUCGCCAUGUCACGGAUCGAACCGACACUUUGGCCAGAAGCCACACUCCAAAACGAUCUUGAGUCCCUGAUGACUCGACUUAACGGAAUCCCUGACCGAGUGCAGGAGUGGAAGAAGUCGUCUACUUGGUGUGGCGCUGAUGUGGCUCUGUCCUUGGUUCGUGUCCACUACAAGGAGGUGCGACAAGAUAAGCUGGCCGCAAUCAAGGUCGCCAACACCCAGAAGCGCGACUUCCGAACUUUUAUGGAGACUUUCAUUGCUGCCGCCACUCGGAUUGCCGAUGGCGUCGACCUGGACGAGUUCGUCGAGCCUGCCAGCCCUCCUCCUGCGGAGUGA
Molecule: ribosomal RNA, 954 nt
Filed under: Triticum aestivum (bread wheat)
Lineage: Eukaryota; Viridiplantae; Streptophyta; Magnoliopsida; Poales; Poaceae
Description: partial small subunit ribosomal RNA
Source: RNAcentral